Molecule: long non-coding RNA, 1202 nt
Filed under: Hordeum vulgare
Lineage: Eukaryota; Viridiplantae; Streptophyta; Magnoliopsida; Poales; Poaceae
Description: long non-coding RNA (HVUL_LNC003909)
Source: RNAcentral
CCUUUUACCGCUCGCAACGGCCUUCCUCCACCGCCGGGCGGUGCGGCCACGGCUCACAGCGCCACCAGCCAAAAAUCUGUGUGUCGCCUCCUCUAUCUCGCGUUGCCUCCUAUCCAUGUGCUUACCUAGCUCCCCCGGGCCAAACAUCGACACGCAUCUCCGGCCUCCCCGUGCCUAUCCGGCAAAGCAAUCAAAUUGAUUCAGCUAAGCCACACCCCCCUGUGAAGAAACGGACUGGUGACAGGCGCCAGGCGCCAGGCGCACUACCACAACCAGAUCUGGCUCUACCUUCUCCCCCCAGGCCUCCUCUCCGUGUUGAUUCAGUAGAGACCGAUUUGUCUUGCUAAUGCAACUUCUCAGCAGCGGGUCUAAGCCAAGAACUGCCCCUAGCACGCCUACCGUGGCUGAUACUAGCCGGCAACCAUUGUCCAUUGCCCUAGUGCAGCUCGGUUGCGCCUGAAUAUGCAGCUCGGUUGCUGCCCUCUCCUUUCUUAUGACUCACGCUGCUUGUGGAGGGAAGAGUGGCGGAGGAGGAGAGUGCUUACAGGUACAGGCACGCGGGCGUAUUGGUAUCGAGGCUGACCUCUAGCAGUCCAUUGGGAUGAGGCUCGUUGUGUGGAUCUGCAGUCCACCGUGAUGUUCACUGAGAGUGCUCAUACAUUUCAGAGUAUUGUUUUGUGCAGUUUGUCGGGGACGUUGGUGACUUACAGGCGCCCUACAUGCACCCGCUCCUCAUGCUGGUUCUGGCCUGGAUCCGUGGAUGACGGCGUGCUCGUUCUGGCCUGGAUCCGUGGCUGACGGGUGCGAGAAUCAUCCCAGCGCCAGCCCACGAAUGGUCAGCGCCGGAUCUGGGAACCACGCCAAACUUCAGCACCCAUGCCGCACUCCCCUUCCACAUCCGUCAGCGCGCAUAGGGGUCGGCUGGCUGGGGGUCGCCAUCCGGUUGUGGCUCGCCGACGGAUGUAGUUCGGUUGUCCUGUCUGCAUCUCUGCUUCCGACCAGGGCUCAUCGACGGAUGCAGUGCGGUAGGGCAGUACAUGUAGUUCGGUAGGUCCGUGGAUGCAGUGCGGCAGGGCAGUAGAUGUAGUUAGAGCAUCUCCAACAGACGCGCUACGAAGCCGCGCGCUAAAAAAAAUUUACCACGUCAAAAUAACGUUUUACAGUGCCGGAUGACCGAACAUCUUCAACAGAGGCUUAAAAAU